Molecule: long non-coding RNA, 190 nt
Organism: Oncorhynchus keta (chum salmon)
Lineage: Eukaryota; Metazoa; Chordata; Actinopteri; Salmoniformes; Salmonidae
Exons: 3
Source: RefSeq, a predicted model, not a curated record
GAUUCUGGGGACCAGGUGUGUGUAAUGAUGGGGACCAGGUGUGUGUAAUGACGGGGAGCAGGUGUGCGUAAUGAUGGGGACCAGGUGUCCGUAAUGAUGGGGACCAGGUGUGCGUAAUGAUGGGGACCAGGUGUGCGUAAUGAUGGGGACCAGGUGUGUGUAAUGAUGGGGACCAGGUGUGCGUAAUGAU